Molecule: long non-coding RNA, 1799 nt
Organism: Anopheles merus
Lineage: Eukaryota; Metazoa; Arthropoda; Insecta; Diptera; Culicidae
Exons: 3
Source: RefSeq, a predicted model, not a curated record
GUGGUCGGAUGCUGAUACCGUUGCUUGCAAAGAGUACGGUGGCUCCAGCAAACUAUUCCGAGCAAGCGGAAGCAAAUGUAUAAUAAAUACUUUAACAGAAAAAACAAUCUUCUCCAUGUCUGUUCCGAAAAAUUUCACCAAUAAUCGAAGCGCAAACUAUUCCCAUUGCCCGCCCAACACGGCGGGAUACGGCAUCGAUACGGGCAAGGUUAAGGCGUAGUAUCCGAUCAUGUAGAAAGGGAGGACUUACUACAGUUGUUUAGACUCCAAUGCAGGGGUGUAUGUGUGUGUGUGUGUGUGUGUGUGUGUGUGUGUGUGUGUGUGUGUGUGUGUGUGUGUGUGUGUGUGUGUGGGUUAGUAGGUUGUUUACAAGAUUGCACCGUUCACCGUAGCGCACCGCACCCCGAGCCUUGACGCAGCGUCCAGCAUUGUCAGUUACCACAAACCAGAGAGCGAUUCUGCUGAUGGCGGCGGUGGUGGUGGUUUUGCAAACAACCUAUCAACCCGACACACUCACGUGGGCCCGUCCCACGGCAGCACGAUCGUUAGGGUGGACAAUCAAGUGGCGAAAGGGCCACACCACCAGUACCAUUUCGCUGCCAUUCCGGUGACAAGUUCCGACAGGUCCAGGGAUUUAUAAUACCCUACCGCACAUCUCGUGCAAUCAAAACCUUGACCAAGAGCCUCUGUAUUUAGAGGCCAGGAUCAUAAAUCGUGUGGGGCUUGUGGCAAAAGUGCGCCGCCCCAUUAAUUCCGCGGAACUGGCCCUACGGACUUAUCAGUGCAAAAUGAUACCAGCAAAGGGCCAUGUUUAAAGUGUGCAGCAAUUAAUGGAGCAGCACUGUGUUUGUCGAUUGCACCGCUCAGAUUGCGGAUUGUUUUUGCAUCGUCAUGCGUGUUUUUUUUUUUUUUUUGUUAUUUUGCACGCAAAGCAACGAGGAAGUGGAAUGGCACAUUGAUGCAGUUGCAUAACAGGGUCUUCUGUUUUGGAUUGCUUGGAUCUUCUGCUUUGGAUUCUUAACUAAAUAUCCCACAAUGUUGAGCGACAGGCAGCUAAAACAAACACAAAGUGGAAUUCCUAUCAACCGUCUAAUAGAUACACCGUUGACGGAAAGCCUCAACCCACCCCCCCGUGAUCGACCGGAACAAAAACAGGAGGAGAAGAAAAAAAGAACCCGCUCUUCAGUAGAUAGGAAUCUACGCAGUUCGUAGCAGCGUUUGGCCGUUCGGUACCAAACAAAACCAUCACCUCUCCGCACAACUGUUUGUGCGGACAGAAAUAAAUAACAAAAUGCGCACGGAUCUGUUGCCGUAUUGGACUACAAAGCAGAAAUAAAAAAAAAAAACAAUUCGAGAGCAACGCGUGUGACACACCAGGCACCUCCAUCGUGUACGUCAAUGCCGAGUUCAUGCUGCUGACGUCCGCCUUGCCUGACACGGGGCGCAUUCUUGUGCUUUACUUUACUUACAAAGGGAUGGUUUUAAUCAUUUGCAGCGAGCUUACACAAAAUUGUAUGGAAAUAAAAUCUUCGGUCAACCUAAAGGGUUUUGUUUUUAAAGGUUUUUGCUUUCUUUAUCCGUUUUUUUCUCUGUUUAUACUAAAAGCCCUCACCGGUUUCUCUCUCUCACACUCUCUUCUGCAUGGUUGCCGGUAUGUGUUUUCUCAAACACCAUCGACCGCCAAGGUUAGUAAAGGUCACCGGGCGGAACAAGCGAUGCACACAAGCACCACAGACACGAAACAUAUUUCGGCAAAAGCAUUUUGCGGCCAACCGCCUCGAGCCGGCUCUGUCGGUGUG